GGAAGACGACACGGUGGUCGGAAGUGGUGCCCAGUAGGCGGAGCAGUUGUUAAAGUAGGGAGAGAGAAUAUGAGAAGAGAGAAUUUAGUUUUUAGUGUCAAAUGUGAGUGUUUAUGACUUUGACUGCGUGACCGUUUUAAAAAUUAUCAUCACAUAUUUUAAUUUUAAAAAUUGAACUCAAUAUAUUUUUAAUUAUUUAUUUUGUUAAAAAUAACCUUUUUCUUCUCUUAUUUUCAAAAUCGUUAUUUAGUCUUUUUAAUUAACUUUGGUUAUUUUUCACAGUAGCAUGGGGCACGUGGAAUCCCGUGUGAAUCAGCAAGGACCACCUUGCAAGGCUAAAUACUCCUGGGUGACCGAUAGUGAAGUAGUACCGUGAGGGAAAGGUGAAAAGAACCCCCAUCGGGAAGUGAAAUAGAACAUGAAACC
Molecule: non-coding RNA, 426 nt
Filed under: Cicer arietinum (chickpea)
Lineage: Eukaryota; Viridiplantae; Streptophyta; Magnoliopsida; Fabales; Fabaceae
Description: Bacterial large subunit ribosomal RNA
Rfam family: Bacterial large subunit ribosomal RNA
Source: Rfam by way of RNAcentral